This 253-nucleotide ribosomal RNA is filed under the name uncultured bacterium. Its description in RNAcentral is "partial 16S ribosomal RNA". It matches the Rfam family "Bacterial small subunit ribosomal RNA", at positions 524 to 776 of the family's 1533-position model. The record is from RNAcentral.
UACAGAGGGUGCGAGCGUUGUUCGGAAUUACUGGGCGUAAAGGGCGCGUAGGCGGCUUGGCAAGUGGAUGGUGAAAUCCCUCGGCUUAACCGAGGAACUGCCGUCCAAACUGCUUAGCUUGAGACCGGGAGAGGUGAGUGGAAUUCCCAGUGUAGCGGUGAAAUGCGUAGAUAUUGGGAGGAACACCAGUGGCGAAGGCGGCUCACUGGACCGGUACUGACGCUGAGGCGCGAAAGCGUGGGGAGCAAACGGG